GCUUCAUGUCCCGUUCGAGUACUCCCGUAUCCCUGAUCGACAACCCGUGUGUACCGACCUUCGCCUGUUCUCCGACCGACCCUAUGUGGGAGGAAACUGGAGUGCCCGGUGAAGACCCACACAGGCACGAGUGGAACAUACAAACUCCACAACAGGCGGGGCCCGGGAUUUGAACCCCGGCCCUCAGAACUCCCAGAGGAAUACACCAUUUGUGCUCCACCUUCAGUGCUGCCCUGCAGUAGCAAUGAGCUCCAAAUAAGAAGGUGAACUAGAGCAGAAGAGAGAGUUUGCUGUGCAGACGCCGUUGACAACUGCCAAAUGUUGAAAGGAAGUCUACAGGUAUUUUGUUCUUGGAUUAAAAUGUUGUUCAUUAUUCUACAACAAAUAUUUGUCUUUUGCAUCUUAAGAAGCUGAAUUCAACCCAGCACUAGGUAAUCACAAUAAAAUGAAUACCGCUCAGGGAAAUUUUCAUCUAUAAAAUACUUCUAAAGUGACUCCUGCCUAGAUUCAAACCUCUCAAUUUCCAGAUCACUGCAUUCAGGAGUUGAAGCUCAUGGGCAUCAGUACUGAGAGCACAUCUGCUACCCAAACACUACUGCCCACUUUUUGUGAGGAUAUACAGUACUGUACGUCAAGCCAUUCAAUUUAUUGUGGUAUUUUUUCCCCUUUUGCAGAGUAAAGUAAUAUUUUCUCACAGUAAUGUUCAGCUUUGAUCUUUGGGAUACAACAUAGCCAUAACUAUUUUGUGAAUGCAUGUGACUUCCUGUCUCAUUAUUGUGAUCAUUACUCAUGACCAUACACUUGUAUCAAUCAUACCAUUCUUUCAUCUAAGUAGAUAUUUGAACUCAUGUUAAUCAGGAGCAAUGAUGACUAAUGUUUGUAUAACUGACUAUAAACAACUAAAUAAAGGUAAUCUGAAAUAAGCGAUACCUU
Molecule: long non-coding RNA, 933 nt
Organism: Syngnathoides biaculeatus (alligator pipefish)
Lineage: Eukaryota; Metazoa; Chordata; Actinopteri; Syngnathiformes; Syngnathidae
Exons: 3
Source: RefSeq, a predicted model, not a curated record